UUGCUUUGGCAGUAAAUAUAUGAAACUUGAAACGAUAUAGAGAAAAUUAGCAUGGCUCCUGUGCAAAGAUGACACACAAAUUUGUGAAGUGAUCAACAUAAGA
Molecule: small nuclear RNA, 103 nt
Organism: Rhinolophus ferrumequinum (greater horseshoe bat)
Lineage: Eukaryota; Metazoa; Chordata; Mammalia; Chiroptera; Rhinolophidae
Source: Ensembl